RNAcentral lists this ribosomal RNA (253 nucleotides) under uncultured bacterium. Its description in RNAcentral is "partial 16S ribosomal RNA". It matches the Rfam family "Bacterial small subunit ribosomal RNA", at positions 524 to 776 of the family's 1533-position model. The record is from RNAcentral.
UACGUAGGAUGCAAGCGUUGUCCGGAUUUACUGGGCGUAAAGCGCGCGCAGGCGGCACUCUAAGUACGCUGUGAAAUAUCCCGGCUCAACCGGGAGGGUGCAGUGUAGACUAGGGAGCUAGAGGUCGGUAGAGGGGGGUGGAAUUGCUGGUGUAGCGGUGAAAUGCGUAGAGAUCAGCAGGAACACCCGUGGCGAAGGCGGCCCCCUGGGCCGUACCUGACGCUAAGGCGCGAAGGCUAGGGGAGCGAACGGG